Molecule: transfer RNA, 91 nt
Filed under: Negativicutes bacterium
Lineage: Bacteria; Bacillati; Bacillota; Negativicutes
Also listed under: 1 other name
Description: tRNA-Ser
Rfam family: tRNA
About the family: Transfer RNA (tRNA) molecules are approximately 80 nucleotides in length. Their secondary structure includes four short double-helical elements and three loops (D, anti-codon, and T loops).
Source: RNAcentral
GGAGAGGUGUCCGAGCUGGCCGAAGGAGCCUGACUCGAAAUCAGGUAAACUCGCAAGGGUUUCGUGGGUUCAAAUCCCACCCUCUCCGCCA